GACGAACGCUAGCGGCGUGCCUAAUGUAUGCAAGUCGAGCGGGGUAAGGGACUUCGGUCUCUUUCCGAGCGGCAAACGGUUGAGUAACACGUAGGCAACCCGCCCCAGAGACGGGGAUAGCCCGCCGAAAGGCGGAUUAAUACCGGAUGUGGCGAGGGAGUGCAUACUCCCCCUGCUAAAGGCGGCAACGCGCUCUGGGAUGGGCCUGCGGCCUAUCAGCUAGUUGGUGAGGUGACGGCUCACCAAGGCGACGACGGGUAGCUGGUCUGAGAGGAUGGUCAGCCAGACAGGGACUGAGACACGGCCCUGACUCCUUUGGGGGGCAGCAAUGAGGGAUAUUGCACAAUGGGGGAAACCCUGAUGCAGCGACGCCGCUUGGGUGACGAAGUCCUUCGGGAUGUAAAGCCCUUUUCUCGGGGAAGAGAACGGACGGUACCCGAGGAAGAAGCCCCGGCUAACUACGUGC
Molecule: ribosomal RNA, 466 nt
Filed under: uncultured bacterium
Lineage: Bacteria
Description: bacterial SSU rRNA
Rfam family: Bacterial small subunit ribosomal RNA
Source: RNAcentral